UAUUUCUAUGCUCUGGGGUGCUC
RNAcentral lists this non-coding RNA (23 nucleotides) under Mus musculus (house mouse). The record is from RNAcentral. Lineage: Eukaryota; Metazoa; Chordata; Mammalia; Rodentia; Muridae.